CAACCCUCACGCCCCGCGUGGUCUUGGGCCGAGCCUCCGGGCUGGCCUCAAAAGCAGUGGCGGUGCCUCUGGGUCCUGAGCGUAGUAACAACUUCCGCUACAGGGCCCCGGGAGCGCUGGCCGAACCCCAACUCUUUCA
Molecule: unclassified non-coding RNA, 139 nt
Filed under: uncultured Myxotrichaceae
Lineage: Eukaryota; Fungi; Ascomycota; Leotiomycetes; Myxotrichaceae
Description: sequence contains ITS2
Source: RNAcentral